CUAUACAUGCAGUCGAGCGACAGACAAGGAGCUUGCUCCUUUGACGUUAGCGGCGGACGGGUGAGUAACACGUGGGUAACCUACCUAUAAGACUGGGAUAACUUCGGGAAACCGGAGCUAAUACCGGAUAAUAUUUCGAACCGCAUGGUUCGAUAGUGAAAGAUGGUUUUGCUAUCACUUAUAGAUGGACCCGCGCCGUAUUAGCUAGUUGGUAAGGUAACGGCUUACCAAGGCGACGAUACGUAGCCGACCUGAGAGGGUGAUCGGCCACACUGGAACUGAGACACGGUCCAGACUCCUACGGGAGGCAGCAGUAGGGAAUCUUCCGCAAUGGGCGAAAGCCUGACGGAGCAACGCCGCGUGAGUGAUGAAGGUCUUCGGAUCGUAAAACUCUGUUAUUAGGGAAGAACAUACGUGUAAGUAACUAUGCACGUCUUGACGGUACCUAAUCAGAAAGCCACGGCUAACUACGUGCCAGCAGCCGCGGUAAUACGUAGGUGGCAAGCGUUAUCCGGAAUUAUUGGGCGUAAAGCGCGCGUAGGCGGUUUUUUAAGUCUGAUGUGAAAGCCCACGGCUCAACCGUGGAGGGUCAUUGGAAACUGGAAAACUUGAGUGCAGAAGAGGAAAGUGGAAUUCCAUGUGUAGCGGUGAAAUGCGCAGAGAUAUGGAGGAACACCAGUGGCGAAGGCGACUUUCUGGUCUGUAACUGACGCUGAUGUGCGAAAGCGUGGGGAUCAAACAGGAUUAGAUACCCUGGUAGUCCACGCCGUAAACGAUGAGUGCUAAGGGUUUAGGGGGGUUUCCGCCCNCUUAGUGCUGCAGCUAACGCAUUAAGCACUCCGCCUGGGGAGUACGACCGCAAGGUUGAAACUCAAAGGAAUUGACGGGGACCCGCACAAGCGGUGGAGCAUGGGGGUUUAAUUCGAAGCAACGCGAAGAACCUUACCAAAUCUUGACAUCCUUUGACAACUCUAGAGAUAGAGCCUUCCCCUUCGGGGGACAAAGUGACAGGUGGGUGCAUGGGUUGUCGUCAGCUCGUGUCGUGAGAAGGUUGGGUUAAGUCCCGCAACGAGCGCAACCCUUAAGCUUAGUUGCCAUCAUUAAGUUGGGCACUCUAAGUUGACUGCCGGUGACAAACCGGAGGAA
This 1146-nucleotide ribosomal RNA is filed under the name Staphylococcus sp. RNAcentral describes it as "bacterial SSU rRNA". It matches the Rfam family "Bacterial small subunit ribosomal RNA", at positions 49 to 1171 of the family's 1533-position model. Lineage: Bacteria; Bacillati; Bacillota; Bacilli; Caryophanales; Staphylococcaceae. The record is from RNAcentral.